RNAcentral lists this ribosomal RNA (504 nucleotides) under uncultured bacterium. RNAcentral's name for it is "partial 16S ribosomal RNA". It matches the Rfam family "Bacterial small subunit ribosomal RNA", at positions 30 to 523 of the family's 1533-position model. The record is from RNAcentral.
AUUGAACGCUGGCGGCAGGCCUAACACAUGCAAGUCGAACGGUAGCACAGAGAGCUUGCUCUCGGGUGACGAGUGGCGGACGGGUGAGUAACGUCUGGGAAACUGCCCGAUGGAGGGGGAUAACUACUGGAAACGGUAGCUAAUACCGCAUAACGUCGCAAGACCAAAGUGGGGGACCUUCGGGCCUCACACCAUCGGAUGUGCCCAGAUGGGAUUAGCUAGUAGGUGGGGUAAUGGCUCACCUAGGCGACGAUCCCUAGCUGGUCUGAGAGGAUGACCAGCCACACUGGAACUGAGAAACGGUCCAGACUCCUACGGGAGGCAGCAGUGGGGAAUAUUGCACCAUGGGCGCAAGCCUGAUGCAGCCAUGCCGCGUGUAUGAAGAAGGCCUUCGGGUUGUAAAGUACUUUCAGCGGGGAGGAAGGCGGUGAAGUUAAUAACUUCACCGAUUGACGUUACCCGCAGAAGAAGCACCGGCUAACUCCGUGCCAGCCGCCGCGGUAA